Molecule: non-coding RNA, 593 nt
Organism: Heterocephalus glaber (naked mole-rat)
Lineage: Eukaryota; Metazoa; Chordata; Mammalia; Rodentia; Bathyergidae
Source: RefSeq, a predicted model, not a curated record
UAUAUCCAAAAGAGCUUUAAUUGAGAUUCCAGAGAUACAUGCUUCUCCAUAUUCAGUGCAGUGGCAUCACAAUAGCCAUGAUGUAUUAAUGACUCAAGUGUCCAUCAGCAAAUGAAUACAUGAAGAGAAUCCCUAACCCUCAAUCUAACUCUGUCCCAUUUCUCUUAUUCCCCUGGCUCCCCUCCUGAAAGACCACUGCCUUAAUCCUGGCACAGGAGAAGGGGAAUGUUAGAGACACAGUAAGCUACAGCUUUCAGGAGAGACAGAUGGCUGACUGGUUUGUAGCAGAGCCCCUACCUGCAUAAGCGAGGGCAGAGAGCAGCACAGAACCCAGGCUUCCAGCUGCCAAGUUGACUCGGACAAAACCAACAGGGGCUGAGUUCAGCAGAAUCAGUUUUUUCUCCCAACAUUACCCCUCAAAGUUGAAAGAUGGAGUUGUGUUAAGAGAGAAAGCAGAGUACUAUCUGAAACCCGAGAAAAAUCAACCAAAACAGUUUGAUUAGGAAAAUAGUUAACUUUGAAGUAAUGGUUAAAACUUUCUGAUAAGCAAUUGUCAUACUUAAUUGUAUCCACAAAUAAGCAAUAGGAUUUUG